GAUGAAGAACGCAGCAAAAUGCGAUAAGUAAUGUGAAUUGCAGAAUUCAGUGAAUCAUCGAAUCUUUGAACGCACAUUGCGCCCGCUGGUAUUCCGGCGGGCAUGCCUGUUCGAGCGUCAUUUCAACCCUCAAGCCCCCGGGUUUGGUGUUGGGGAUCGGCUCUGCCCUUCUGGGCGGUGCCGCCCCCGAAAUACAUUGGCGGUCUCGCUGCAGCCUCCAUUGCGUAGUAGCUAACACCUCGCAACUGGAACGCGGCGCGGCCAUGCCGUAAAACCCCAACUUCUGAAUGUUGACCUCGGAUCAGGUAGGAAGACCCGCUGAACUUAAGCAUAUCAAUAAGCGGAGGA
RNAcentral lists this unclassified non-coding RNA (348 nucleotides) under soil metagenome. RNAcentral describes it as "partial contains 5.8S ribosomal RNA, internal transcribed spacer 2, and large subunit ribosomal RNA". The stretch from base 1 to 120 matches the Rfam family "5.8S ribosomal RNA", at positions 35 to 154 of the family's 154-position model. The record is from RNAcentral.